This 164-nucleotide ribosomal RNA is filed under the name uncultured bacterium. RNAcentral's name for it is "partial 16S rRNA". It matches the Rfam family "Bacterial small subunit ribosomal RNA", at positions 355 to 511 of the family's 1533-position model. The record is from RNAcentral.
UAGGGAAUCUUCCACAAUGGGCGAAAGCCUGAUGGAGCAACGCCGCGUGUGUGAUGAAGGGUUUCGGAUCGUAAAACACUGUUGUAAGAGAAGAAUGACAUUGAGAGUAACUGUUCAAUGUGUGACGGUAUCUUACCAGAAAGGAACGGCUAAAUACGUGUCAG